AUGGGACUGCGGCCUAUCAGCUUGUUGGUGGGGUAAAGGCCCACCAAGGCUAUACAGGUACGGGCUCUGAGAGGAGAAGCCCGGAGAUGGGUACUGAGACAAGGACCCAGGCCCUAUGGGGCGCAGCAGGUGAGAAAACUUUGCAAUGUGCGAAAGCACGACAAGGUUAAUCCGAGUGAUUUCUGCUAAAGGAAUCUUUUGCCAGUUCUAAAAAUACUAGUGAAUAAGGGGUGGGCAAGUUCUGGUGUCAGCCGCCGCGGUAAAACCAGCACCUCAAGUGGUCAGGAUGAUUAUUGGGCCUAAAGCAUCCGUAGCCGGCUCUGUAAGUUUUCGGUCAAAUCCAUGUGCUCAACGCAUGGGCUGCCGAAAAUACUGCAGUGCUAGGAAGUGGGAGAGGUAGACGGUACUUGAUAGGAAGGGGUAAAAUCCUUUGAUCUAUCGAUGACCACCUGUGGCGAAGGCGGUCUACCAGAACACGUUCGACGGUGAGGGAUGAAAGCUGGGGGAGCAAACCGGAUUAGAUACCCGGGUAGUCCCAGCUGUAAACGAUGCAGACUCGAUGUUGCAUUGGCAUAUAGCCAGUGCAGUGUCGCAGGGAGGCCGUUAAGUCUGCCGCCUGGGAAGUACGUACGCAAGUAUGAAACUUAAAGGAAUUGGCGGGGGAGCACCACAAGGGGUGAAGCCUGCGGUUCAAUUGGAGUCAACGCCGGG
This 711-nucleotide ribosomal RNA is filed under the name uncultured Nitrososphaerota archaeon. Its description in RNAcentral is "bacterial SSU rRNA". It matches the Rfam family "Archaeal small subunit ribosomal RNA", at positions 209 to 922 of the family's 1478-position model. The record is from RNAcentral. Lineage: Archaea; Thermoproteati; Nitrososphaerota.